This 402-nucleotide ribosomal RNA is filed under the name bacterium. RNAcentral's name for it is "partial 16S ribosomal RNA". It matches the Rfam family "Bacterial small subunit ribosomal RNA", at positions 355 to 776 of the family's 1533-position model. The record is from RNAcentral.
UGGGGAAUUUUGCACAAUGGGGGAAACCCUGAUGCAGCGACGCCGCGUGAUUUAGAAGGCCUUCGGGUUGUAAAAAUCUUUUCUAUGGGAAGAAAAUGACAGUACCAUAGGAAUAAGGACCGGCUAAUUACGUGCCAGCAGCCGCGGUAAUACGUAAGGUCCGAGCGUUGUCCGGAAUCAUUGGGCGUAAAGGGUACGUAGGCGGGUAAGCAAGUUAGAAGUGAAAUCCUAUAGCUCAACUAUAGUAAGCUUUUAAAACUGCUCAUCUUGAGGUAUGGAAGGGAAAGUGGAAUUCCUAGUGUAGCGGUGAAAUGCGCAGAUAUUAGGAGGAAUACCGGUGGCGAAGGCGACUUUCUGGCCAUAACCUGACACUGAGGUACGAAAGCGUGGGUAGCAAACAGG